UGUGAGUCAUUGCAGUAAUGCAAGGCAGACGGCUCAGUAACACGUAGUCAACCUACCCUAUAGACGGGGAUAACCUCAGGAAACUGAGGAUAAACCCCGAUAGAUCAUUAUGCCUGGAACGGUUUAUGGUCCAAAUGAUUCGUCGCUAUAGGAUGGGACUGCGGCCUAUCAGCUUGUUGGUGAGGUAAUGGCCCACCAAGACUAUUACAGGUACGGGCUCUGAGAGGAGUAGCCCGGAGAUGGGUACUGAGACACGGACCCAGGCCCUAUGGGGCGCAGCAGGCGAGAAAACUUUGCAAUGUGCGAAAGCACGACAAGGUUAAUCCGAGUGAUUCCUGCUAAAGGAAUCUUUUGUUAGUCAUAAUACCACUAACGAAUAAGGGGUGGGCAAGUUCUGGUGUCAGCCGCCGCGGUAAAACCAGCACCUCAAGUGGUCAGGAUGAUUAUUGGGCCUAAAGCAUCCGUAGCCGGCUUUGUUAGUUUUCGGUUAAAUCCAUAUGCUCAACAUAUGGGCUGCCGGGAAUACUGCAAAGCUAGGGAGUGGGAGAGGUAGACGGUACUCCGUAGGAAGGGGUAAAAUCCUUUGAUCUAUGGAUGACCACCUGUGGCGAAGGCGGUCUACCAGAACACGUCCGACGGUGAGGGAUGAAAGCUGGGGGAGCAAACCGGAUUAGAUACCCGGGUAGUCCCAGCUGUAAACUAUGCAAACUCAGUGAUGCAUUGGCUUGUGGCCAGUGCAGUGCCGC
RNAcentral lists this ribosomal RNA (746 nucleotides) under uncultured archaeon. RNAcentral's name for it is "bacterial SSU rRNA". It matches the Rfam family "Archaeal small subunit ribosomal RNA", at positions 52 to 804 of the family's 1478-position model. The record is from RNAcentral.